RNAcentral lists this ribosomal RNA (437 nucleotides) under Cylindrospermum sp. CYAE13. RNAcentral describes it as "partial 16S ribosomal RNA". It matches the Rfam family "Bacterial small subunit ribosomal RNA", at positions 356 to 795 of the family's 1533-position model. Lineage: Bacteria; Bacillati; Cyanobacteriota; Cyanophyceae; Nostocales; Nostocaceae. The record is from RNAcentral.
GGGGAAUUUUUUCCCCCAAUGGAGGAAAAACCUUGAGGUAAGCAUAUACUGGUGUGAGGAAGGAAGCGUUAAUGGAUUGUUAAACCUAUUUUUUUAGCGGAAGAACUCCCAAGGCCGGUUCUGGAGAAAAAAGCUUUUGGUUAAUGGUUACCACCAGCGGGGGUUUAUCUGAGGAUACAAGCGUUUUCCGGAACAAUUGGCGGAAAGCUUCCGCAGGUGGCUGUGUAAGUUUGCUGUUAAAGAGUGAGGCUCAACCUCAUAAAGGCAGUGGAACCUACACGGCUAGAGUGCGUUCGGGGCAGAGGGAAUUCCUGGUGUAGCGGUGAAAUGCGUAGAGAUCAGGAAGAACACCGGUGGCGAAAGCGCUCUGUUAGGCCGCAACUGACCCUGAGGGACGAAAGCUAGGGGAGCGAAAGGGAUUAGAUACCCCAGUAGUC